Molecule: long non-coding RNA, 2570 nt
Filed under: Nicotiana benthamiana
Lineage: Eukaryota; Viridiplantae; Streptophyta; Magnoliopsida; Solanales; Solanaceae
Description: long non-coding RNA (NBEN_LNC004870)
Source: RNAcentral
GGAGGCAUUCUGGCGGACGCAUGCGUGUAGGAAGGCCGACGACUACAUAAGCUAAAAGACUUGGCUUGGAUUCGUCCCGAACCAAGGAGGUAUUCUGGCGGACGCAUGCGUGUAGGAAGGCCGACGGCUACAUAAGCUAAAAGACUACAACUACAAGACAGGCCGGAAGCGACUCGCUUCUAUUCUCGUUGGGAUUGGAUAAAGAUGGGAAAUCUAUAGAUCGUAGUAGUUCGCCAACCUCUCUAACUAACAUACGAUACAAUUUCACUUCACGGCACGGCCAAAAAAAGGAAAGAGGUUCGCUCGGUUGGCCUUCCUACGAUGACGAAUGCCUCUUUUCUCUUCUCUGAAGUCUACAACAAACAAGUGGGAGAGGCAGGAUUCGAACCUACGUAGAAAAACUUCAACAGUUUACAGUCUGCCACUUUUGACCACUCGGUCACUCUGCCCUUCCCGGGCCGAGGCCCCCCCAAUGGGUUCUAAUUCUAAGAAGGGGUGCAGUGCCCUGAAUCAAUCAAAAAGCUUAUUGAUUUAAUUGAAGGGAACUAAGACGAUUAGCUUAGCUAGCGUUCCGGGAGAAUCUAGUCAUUUAGUCAGUUCAUAACUAUCUCUGUAAAGCAAGGGGUAAAGCUUCUACGAAAGCUUCCCCCUCAUGUAGUCGUCGGCCUUCCCCAGCCCCCCCUCGUCGCUUCUGGCGAAGCUGCGAGUUCAUGAGCAAGUGAAUGAAGGAGCCAUGUUCCUAAAAGAAAAUGACCCUCUUUGUUUUCUUUUCUUCCCCUAUCCCUUCAAAGCCCUUGUAUAGGUUGGGCGCUAGCGCUUUACUAAUAUAAUAAAAAGUCAGGCUCUUCUGCUGAGCGAAGCAUCGGGAGAAUCUAGUAAUUUAGUCAGUUCAUAACUAUCUCUAUAAAGCAAGGGGUAAAGCUUCUAUGAAAGCUUCCCCCUCAUGUAGUCGUCGGCCUUCCCCAGCCCCCCCCCCCCUCGUCGCUUCUGGCGAAGCUGCGAGUUCAUGAGCAAGUGAAUGAAAGAGCCAUGUUCCUAAAAGAAAAUGACUCUCUUUGUUUUCUUCCCCCUUCGUCGCUUCUGGCGAAGCUGCAAGUUCAUGAGCAAGUGAAUGAAGGAGCCAUGUUCCUAAAAGAAAAUGACUCUCUUUGUUUUCUUUUCUUCCCUUAUCCCUUCAAAGCCCUUGUAUAGGUUGGGUGCUAGCGCUUUACUAAAAUAAUAAAAAGUCAGGCUCUUCUGCUGAGCGAAGCUGCGAGCCUACUUAAAUAUAGCUUACGCAUACCAAGCCUAAUCUACAAAAAUAACUGCAAGCAAAGCAAGCUUUCCCCCUUCGUUUGUUGUGGGUCGCGCCUCACCGCAGGCACUGAAUGAAUGAAAUGAGUGGAGAUCCUCCUUCCCCCUUGCUAAUUACCAAGAACUUCGUUGCCACUAGUAAAUUAGACCAUCCCCCCAAAAAAGAACUCGGAGCCUAAAGAGAAGAGAGUUCAGUCUUGCUAAAGAACUUCGUUGCCACUAGUAAAUUAGACCAUCCCCCCAAAAAAGAACAAGAGAAGAGAGUUCAGUCUACAAGAAGCUGGCAGAGCUUUAGCCAUUGAGCUACAUCCAUCUAUCCCAAACAGUAACCCUUUCCUUGUUCGUUCUUCGAAUAACGCUAGUGGAGACUAAUUCCUUCAGGCUAAUGAAGAUACUACUCUAGUCUUUCCAGUGGAUCCUUCUUAUCCCUAAGAAUGGAACGAACCAAGUUAACCUAUACGAGAGUGAGGAAUAAAAACCAACAAUCAACUUACCGCUUUUGAUGUCCCACGAUUCUGCUAGUUUAGAAACAAAGGAGAAGGACAGGGGUCGCUAGGUCAGAAAAGCGAUAACUAAAAAAUCUCCCCAAGUAGGAUUCGAACCUUGCUUUUGAUGUUCCCCGAUUCUGCUAGUUUAGAAACAAAAGAGAAGGACAGGGGUCGCUAGGUCAGAAAAGCGAUAACUAAACCGCAAGUAGGAUUCGAACCUACGACCAAUCGGUUAACAGCCGACCGCUCUACUACUGAGCUACUGAAGAACAACGGACUUAAUGUUGGAAGCCAACUCUCGUUCUUUGGACCAACCUAUGACCGAAUAAAAAUGAGUUCGUCACUCUUUUUCACAUACACCGGGAGAAAAGGUUACGAUAGCAAGCCCCUCCCCUGCGGGAGAGCCUCCAGGUCCUGGAGGCGGCGAUCAACCAUCCAAUCUCGAGAUUCAUAUUGAUCAAUAGAUCUUCGCGUCUUGCCAGUUCGCUAAGUAGACUCACUCUACCGAGGGGCAACAAAGGCUGGAACUCUUCCUGCCAAAAACAAGGGACCUACUUCUCAUCCUAGGAGUUAGCAGGUAUGAAAGAGUCCCCUCUCUGUCUGUCUCUCCGAGUUUCUACUACUAAGUAGCACUUCUGCUAUUCAAUCAUAGAAUCGAUUCCGAUCAAGCUGAAAAAAGUCAGCCCUAUAUAUGUUAUUAGUAAAGCGCUAACGCCCUAUCUAUAGUAAGGGGGCCUUUCUUGCUCGUUAGCGCUGUUUUUUGAUUGCAGCUAGGGCGCCCCUUUUCUU